RNAcentral lists this ribosomal RNA (532 nucleotides) under Bifidobacterium longum subsp. suillum. RNAcentral describes it as "bacterial SSU rRNA". It matches the Rfam family "Bacterial small subunit ribosomal RNA", at positions 156 to 703 of the family's 1533-position model. Lineage: Bacteria; Bacillati; Actinomycetota; Actinomycetes; Bifidobacteriales; Bifidobacteriaceae. The record is from RNAcentral.
ACGGGUGGUAAUGCCGGAUGCUCCAGUUGAUCGCAUGGUCUUCUGGGAAAGCUUUCGCGGUAUGGGAUGGGGUCGCGUCCUAUCAGCUUGACGGCGGGGUAACGGCCCACCGUGGCUUCGACGGGUAGCCGGCCUGAGAGGGCGACCGGCCACAUUGGGACUGAGAUACGGCCCAGACUCCUACGGGAGGCAGCAGUGGGGAAUAUUGCACAAUGGGCGCAAGCCUGAUGCAGCGACGCCGCGUGAGGGAUGGAGGCCUUCGGGUUGUAAACCUCUUUUAUCGGGGAGCAAGCGUGAGUGAGUUUACCCGUUGAAUAAGCACCGGCUAACUACGUGCCAGCAGCCGCGGUAAUACGUAGGGUGCAAGCGUUAUCCGGAAUUAUUGGGCGUAAAGGGCUCGUAGGCGGUUCGUCGCGUCCGGUGUGAAAGUCCAUCGCUUAACGGUGGAUCCGCGCCGGGUACGGGCGGGCUUGAGUGCGGUAGGGGAGACUGGAAUUCCCGGUGUAACGGUGGAAUGUGUAGAUAUCGGGAA